UGUCUGUGUCAUAUAGCUCCCACAGAACUGUUUUUUUCUGAUUUGAGAUUUUGCUUAAUAAAUUUGUCAAAAAAAAUCGUUAAAAUUGUUGUUUCUUAUUUUCAAUUCUAAUUCUUCAUCGGAAACAACAUCGAACGAAAAUCAUUUAAGAAACUAAAAACAAAAAUGAAUAUUAUAAAUCGAUUUGAGCACAUUUAGAUAUGCAGACUUCACCAAAGGGGACUUCAAGGGAACCGUGGAGCACCAGAGACACAGACAAGAAGAUCUUUAUCUGAGGCCUAAAAUAAUCAUACCGCAAGCAGGUGUAACAAGGAGGGGUCUCAGUGGUGAUGACUUUCUCAAAUUUACCCAAAUGGAGAAAGAAGCAGCAUGAAGGUCAAACAACACUCGAACGGUUCCAACCGUCGAGCACAUUUCAUUUGUGUACAAUUCAUUUAAUUGCGGUCCCGCCAAGUCGCAUCCCUUAACCAACCGUCGCGUUCACAAGCCAGCGAAUCUCCAGCGCAACCCGUAAGCCAUCCGGUCAAAUGCAAAAUACGAACGAAUAUGCACUCAAAGCAAGGACCAUGAACACUUUCAGGGUUUCACGUAAUUAGCUUGUGUCUCUCAGCUUUUUAGUGAGGGAGCUUCUAUUUACACAAUCACACACACACACGCACACACACCUUCAUGGACACACAUGGCCGCCGCACGACGCAGCCAAUGCCCUGGGUGGUGUUUGAUUACGUUUUGUGUUUUGGUAUUUUUCAUACAGAAGCCCAGAUAAGCGCGUCACAGCGACAAACCAGACAGACAAUGUAAAUGUUUAAACAAAAUGCUGAAAAAAAUAAAAACCAAAAAAAAAAUGUUAAGAAAAAUUUUAUUAUAAAUGUAUUUUUGUUUGCUGUUGAUAGGCCUGAUGUUGGCAACGAGAUAGCAUUUAAUAUUAUUAUUAUUGUUGUUGUUGUUGUCGUUGUUGUUAAAUGUCAUUUAAAUAACAUGAAGGCGGGUCAAAAAAGAUGCCAAACGUUCAAAAUGUGCCCCUCUUUAUUUAUAUAGGACGAUGUCCUUGAGAGAUAAAUCAGUCAAACACCCUCGAUUGUGGACGUGUGAGAGAGAAAGUGUGUGUGUGUGUGUGUGUGCGGGAGGCAC
Ceratitis capitata (Mediterranean fruit fly) is the source of this 1131-nucleotide long non-coding RNA. RefSeq lists it as uncharacterized. NCBI's taxonomy places the organism in Eukaryota, Metazoa, Arthropoda, Insecta, Diptera, Tephritidae. The transcript is spliced from 4 exons. The record is from RefSeq and is a predicted model, not a curated record.